GAUGAACGCUGGCGGCGUGCUUAACACAUGCAAGUCGAACGGUGAAGGCGGAGCUUGCUCUGCUGGAUCAGUGGCGAACGGGUGAGCUACACGUGAGCAAUCUGCCACUGACUCUGGGAUAAGCUCUGGAAACGGAGUCUAAUACUGGAUACGAGCUGCGACGGCAUGUUCAGCAGCUGGUAAGAAUUGCGGUCAGGGAUGAGGACGCGGCCUAUCAGCUUGUUGGUGAGGUAAUGGCUAAGCAAGGCGUCGACGGGUAGCCGGCCUGAGGGGGAGACCAGGCACAGUGGGACUGGGACACGGACCAGACUCAUACUGGAGGCAGCAGUGGGAGAUAUUGCACAAUGGGCGAGAGCCUGAUGCUGCAACGCCGCUUGCGGGACAACGGCCCUCGGGUUGUAAACCUCUUUUAGCUGGGAAGGAGCGAAAGUGACGGUACCUGCAGGAAAAGCGCCGGCUAACUACGUG
Molecule: ribosomal RNA, 468 nt
Filed under: uncultured bacterium
Lineage: Bacteria
Description: partial 16S ribosomal RNA
Rfam family: Bacterial small subunit ribosomal RNA
Source: RNAcentral